AAUAAUUCUAGGCUGGAAGGUCACUUGUUAUUCUACCCACUGAACACGAUUUUGUAGAUCAGCAAUUACUUCUUCAAGAUCAUAUGGCAGAGGCAUAUUACACUCAUCAUCUGUCCAGAAGGGAUGGCUUUCUGGUUUCUGGUCUUCUGGCAAGCUCUCGGCUGCUUCUGACUGGCAUCUUGCUGUCCAUUCCUUACGCAGCCUUUCUCGCUCUGUAAGAACUAGCAAGAAGCACCUGAUUGUUUUAUUCCUUUGUUCCUCAAUUUGUUCCUCUUUUCGAACUUCAGAGAGGACCAGGCUUUGAUGGGUUUUGUCCAUCCUUCUCAAUUGCAGGAUGCCAUCAGGGAGAUGGAGCACAAAUUCAUGGUACCUGCAGGCUGACCUCCACCUCUUCUGAGGGCAGGACACUUUCCACAGAGGUUCUCAUUCUCUCGAGACGCUUCGUUGCCUACCUCCAUCAUGCCAGGAAUUCAGUAACAUUUCUUCCUAUUUACUGUUCUUCUGAAUGCUAUAUCUGUAAAACCUACACUUUAUAAACCUAGGCUUUAAAUAUAAAACUAGUACUUACCAUAAUCUCCAUUUUUCUCCAAAAUUCUUCUAACUUAGCAAUAGGCUUGAGCCACCAAUCAGUGCACUUCAAAUACCGCUUGCCUUGAAACCAAAACUGCCUAAGCCACUCAAAUUCAACCUCAUUAUGUAUUUCUUCUACUUGCUUUAUAACGGCAGUAUCCAGUGAUUUCAAAGAUAAAGCCACUGAAUCUGGGUCUGUCUGCAAAUUCUGGAGCGCCAGUUCACAUUGUCCAAAUAUGUAUUCCAAUGUUCCUCUUGAACACUAUAAAGAUUUAAAUUUCCAGGAAUAAUCUUGAAUAAGGACCCC
This 877-nucleotide long non-coding RNA is filed under the name Strigops habroptila (Kakapo). Its description in RNAcentral is "lncRNA (ENSSHBG00005004828.1)". The record is from RNAcentral. Lineage: Eukaryota; Metazoa; Chordata; Aves; Psittaciformes; Psittacidae.